RNAcentral lists this ribosomal RNA (253 nucleotides) under uncultured Bacteroides sp. RNAcentral describes it as "partial 16S ribosomal RNA". It matches the Rfam family "Bacterial small subunit ribosomal RNA", at positions 524 to 776 of the family's 1533-position model. The record is from RNAcentral. Lineage: Bacteria; Pseudomonadati; Bacteroidota; Bacteroidia; Bacteroidales; Bacteroidaceae.
UACGUAGGGGGCAAGCGUUAUCCGGAUUUACUGGGUGUAAAGGGAGCGUAGGCGGGUUGUUAAGUCAGUUGUGAAAGUUUGCGGCUCAACCGUAAAAUUGCAGUUGAUACUGGCAUCCUUGAGUACAGUAGAGGUAGGCGGAAUUCGUGGUGUAGCGGUGAAAUGCUUAGAUAUCACGAAGAACUCCGAUUGCGAAGGCAGCUCACUGGACUGCAACUGACACUGAGGCUCGAAAGUGUGGGUAUCAAACAGG